AUGGUGGCGCGCUUCGCUCCCCGCGUGAAAUCUCCCCGUCUCGGUCGCUCCAUGUGGGCCGAAGCUGCUCCUCUUCGUCCCGAACCACACCCACCGCCCGUCUUCUCCGUGCCGCCACUGCAAGACCUCAACGCUCGGCUGAAGCGCCUGGUCCAGUCGGGCCGGCUACCCGACGCGCAGGCCCUGUUCGACGGAGCGCCGCACCGCGACGAGGCCUCCUACUCUGCCCUGCUCGCGGGCCAUGCUGCGGCGGGGGAUGUCACCGGCGCCAUGGCGCUCUUCUCCCGCAUCCGCGCAUCCUCGCUCCCGGCCGCUGACCCCUUCGUGCUCAGCCUCGCGUUCAAGGCCUGCGCCGCGGCCGCCGACGCCAGCCACGCCGCGUCACUGCACGCCUUCGCCGUCAGGUCCUCGGCCGUCUCCUCCGUCUUCGUCGCCACCGCGCUGGCCGACGCCUACGCCAAGGCCGGCUGCCUCGCGCAAGCGCUCAGGGUGUUCGACGAAAUGCCGCUCAAGAACGUGGUCUCCUGGACCACGCUCAUCUCCGCACUGGCGCGGGCCGGCCGCCGCCACGACGCGGUCCGCCGCUUUGCUGAGAUGCGCGCCUCCAGCAUGCCCUGUGACUCGCAUGCCUUCGCGGCCGCGCUCACCGCGUGCGCUGACACCGGGCUGCUAUCGCGCGGCCGUGAGGUGCACGCGCUCUGCGCCAAGCUCGGCUUCGACGCCACGCCCUACGUCGCCAACACACUCGCCACGCUGUACGCGCGCUGCGGGGACGUCCACCGUGCAAUGGCUGCGGUCGGCCGCAUGGGCUCGCGAGACGUUGCCGCGUGGACGACUGUGAUAUCCUCCUACGCACAGACUGGUCGUGCCAAGGAAGCCAUCCUGGCAUUCGUCGCGAUGCUUCGUGACGGGGCAUCGAAGGCGGCCAGGCCCAACGAAUACACAUACGCUGCAGUUAUUGCUGCGUGUGCAAAUAUUUCGUGUGUAUAUCUUGGAGAGCAGUUGCACGCUCAAGCUGCACAAAGAGGGUUCGCCAGUGCGCGCUCGGUGGCCAAUUCACUCGUCACACUCUAUGCCCGCGCCGCCGGUCGUCUGUCAGCAGCCGAUGCCGUGUUCCGUGAAAGUGCUGCCAAGGAUGUUGUCUCUUGGAGUGCAAUCAUAUCAGGCUAUGCGCAGGAAGGACUUGCCGGGGAGGCUUUCGCCCUGUUUACUGAAAUGCGACGGCACCAUUGUCCUCGUCCGAAUGAGUUUACUCUUGCCAGUCUCCUCAGUGCGUGCGCAACUGCUGCGUCACUGGACGCUGGUCGCCAACUCCAUGCACUUGCUGUCGCUGCUGGACUUGAACACCAUGCCAUGGUCAGGAGUGCGCUCAUUGACAUGUAUGGAAAGAGUGGCAACAUGUCAGAUGCUGAUGUUGUAUUUUCCAAUCGCACGAAAGAUGAUGUGGUUUCAUGGACUGCGAUGAUCGUCGGGAAUGCUGAGCAUGGCCACAGUGAAAGGGCACUUGAAUUGUUUGAGGAAAUGUGCCGUGUUGGGCUAAAGCCGGACCAUGUUGCGUUCAUAGGUGUGCUCAGUGCUUGCUGUCAUGCUGGGGCAGUUGAGCUUGGAUUGAGGUACCUCAAUGCAAUGAGCAAAAGCUAUGGACUGGAGCCCGCAAAGGAGCACUAUGGCUGUGUCGUGGAUUUGUUGGGCAGAGCUGGUAGAAUAGAUGAGGCUGAGGAGUUGAUUGGUGGUAUGGCAGCUAAUGAAAGAGAUGGUGUUGUUUGGACAUCUUUGCUUAGGGCAUGUGCAGCUCGAGGGGAAGAGGAAACCGGAAAGAAAGCUGCAGAGAGGGCAAUGGAGGCAGAGCCAUGGGGUGCAGGAGCACAUGUGGCAAUGGCAAAUCUAUAUGCCAGCAAGGGACAAUGGUGUGAGGCAGCACAAGAGAGACAUAUGAUGAAGCAGAAAGGGGUUGUGAAAGGAGUAGGGUGGUCAUCAGUCACAGUUGGAGGGGAGGAGAGGGGAGUUGGGGUGUUUGUUGCAGGUGACCGUACACAUCCCCAAGACAAUGUGAUCUAUGAGAUGCUUGACUUGAUUUACUAUGGAGUUGGAAUGGCUCGGUAUGUACCCGAUCAGAUGAAUUUAGCAUCUGAGGUGGAGCUAAUGGUUAACACU
RNAcentral lists this ribosomal RNA (2154 nucleotides) under Triticum aestivum (bread wheat). RNAcentral's name for it is "partial small subunit ribosomal RNA". The record is from RNAcentral. Lineage: Eukaryota; Viridiplantae; Streptophyta; Magnoliopsida; Poales; Poaceae.